This 132-nucleotide small RNA is filed under the name Salmonella enterica. RNAcentral describes it as "RtT sRNA". It matches the Rfam family "RtT RNA". Rfam says of the family: This family represents a bacterial cis-regulatory element known as RtT RNA. The exact function of RtT is unknown although it is thought that it may be involved in changing the cellular response in relation to amino acid starvation. RNAcentral also lists the same sequence under 1 other name. The record is from RNAcentral. Lineage: Bacteria; Pseudomonadati; Pseudomonadota; Gammaproteobacteria; Enterobacterales; Enterobacteriaceae.
AUAUCUCUCUGUACGGGAAGGAUGAGAAGCUUCGACUAAGGUUCGAUUCGAGCGAAAGCGAGAAAGCGUUGUCGCAGGCAACGACCCGAAGGGCGAAGCGCGUAGCGCUGAGUCAUCCUUCCCCCACCACCA